RNAcentral lists this long non-coding RNA (6756 nucleotides) under Equus caballus (horse). RNAcentral describes it as "lncRNA (ENSECAG00000056395.1)". Lineage: Eukaryota; Metazoa; Chordata; Mammalia; Perissodactyla; Equidae. The record is from RNAcentral.
AGGGCCGCCCUCCGGCCACAGGAGGGCCCUUCCCUGAGCUCCUGAGGGCUGGGGUUGUCGCGAUUUACAACCCUUAACAGGUGACUGCCAGGCAGGGGCACAAACACUCAAAGCCACUCACCUCCAGAUGGGGACACCUGCGAGCCAUGACCUGCAGAGUCCGGAGUUCCUCCACGGGAUGGAGCCCUUGUCCCUCCACAGGCCUGCAUGCGCCUCCUCCCCAUCCCCGUCCACUCCCCACUCCCAGCCACGUUUCCGGGGAGCAUGUCCUUCAUACAAAUCUCAUCUCAGAGUCUGCAUCUGGAACCACACCCACAUGCCGCUAUCCAAGUUCCGUUCCAGGAAGGUGUCUGUGGGGUGAGCUGGGAAGAAGGGGGGUGCUCCGCAUCUGGGGACUCAGACUCUGCCCGGGCGCCUCUCCUGAGCCGGUUUUCAUCUGUGUCCCUUCCCUGUGACGAACCAUGGCCAUGCGUGGUUCAGCUCUCAGCGAGCUCCAGGCCCUUCCAGAGAGCUGUCACACCAAGCACCGCCUUGGGGAUCCCGAGCCUGCGGCUGGCGGUGUAACCGCAGGCCCGCCAGCACCAGGUCAACUGAGCCAUCUCUUAUCAACAGAGAGGUUGAGAAUCGCCUUUCAGGAAACAGGAAACGUGCCAAGUCACGUGGCCAGAGCACGCGCAGAAGAGGAAAUCUUGACUUGAAAUGACCGUGGAACCGAAGAUCCCCCUUCCCACGGAACCCAAGGACAGAAUGCGACCGGAGUUUGAAGGUCGGGCUCUCAUCAGAAGCGAGGGCCCUGGUUCAGGAAGAUCCAGUGUUAAAAUUCACAGAGAAUGUCUAGAGCCCCGUCGUAAACAGUUAGAACCCCGUCAUAAAUGCUUGAAGCCCAGCAAUGGAAACCCGUCCCCCCAGAGUUUGCGCGUGCCUAACUGUUGUCUAGACCCCCUAAAUUUCACCCCAAAUCCUGCUCUGGGGAGACAGAUGAGGGCCCCCUGCCUCCCUGCAGGUCGGCCUCGCAGAAUAAAGCUGGUCUCUUCGCAAAGGCUGAUGCCCGACUAGUGGCUGUUUAUGUGCACCGGGCAGAGAACCUCAUUCCGUGUGGUCACUGUCAGAGCGAAGGCAGUUUUGGGGGCACAGGCGGCUCCCUUGGGCCCUGCAGCAAGGCUAACCGUACACACACACACACACACACACACACACACACACGUGAGGCUGGGAAACCACACGGCAGGCGUUGUGCAGAGAUGCCUCGGAGUGUAGGACCAGUGUGUGUGUUCCCAUCUGUUGUUAUUCAUUUGUGUGCGAGAACCUAUCGCACACCAACCUCUGCUCCACCAGCUCAGGCGGCUCUGGUCUCGGGGCUCAGCAGCCCGGUAAGACGCAGGUGUCAGUGGGGGUGACACCAACCACGCGGUCAGGUCGCGCCCACCCAUCUACGCCACUUGCUCUUGCUCUACCGCGUAACUUGACCAAACGUUACAUAAACCAGCUACGCAUCGUGUAAAAGGAGAGAAAGUCGUUUCUACAAUACACAGUUUGGGAAAUCAAGACAAAGGCAAGUGAAGUCACUUUAAAAAUUGCUUUUGAAUUAGCUGCAGACAAGAUACCUCAAAAUACGAAAAGCAACUUGUGAAAAUUUGGAAGAUUUCUGGUCUCAGGUGACUUUACAAACAUAUUCAAGUCUCAGUCCUGGUACUUAAAAAAAAGUACCAAAAGUGGGUAUCUUAGGGGAUGAAGUAAGCACGUGGUUUAUACCAAAAAUGAAAAUAAGACUCCAGUCCUGACCGGCUGACUAGUCUCCACCCUACACGAAAAUACAGUCAAGGCCAGAGCUGCCCAAACGAUGACAGAGGAAGCAGAGGGUGGCCCCAGGUAUGCGGUGGCCUUGGGUGUGCAGUGGCCCCGGGUGAGCAGUGGCCCUGGUUGUGAGGUCACUCUGGGUGUGCUGUGGCCCUGGUUGUGCGGUGGCCCUGGGUGAGCAGUGGCCCUGGUUGUGAGGUCACUCUGGGUGUGCAGUGGCCCCAGGUGUGCAGUGGCCCUGGUUGUGAGGUCACUCUGGGUGUGCUGUGGCCCUGGGUGUGCGGUGGCCUUGGGUGUGCGGUGGCCCUAGGUGAGCAGUGGCCCUGGUUGUGAGGUCACUCUGGGUGUGCUGUGGCCCCGGGUGUGCUGUGGCCCUGGGUGUGUGGUGGCCCCGGGUGAGCAGUGGCCCUGGUUGUGAGGUCACUCUGGGUGUGCUGUGGCCCCGGGUGUGCUGUGGCUCUGGUUGUGCAGUGGCCCUAGGUGAGCAGUGGCCCUGGUUGUGAGGUCACUCUGGGUGUGAGGCGGCCCCGGGUGGGAUAUUGACCAGAGGGGAGAGGGGCCUUUCUAGCGUGAUGGAAACUUGAUGCAUCUCCAUUGAUUGUGCACCUUUAUCAGAACUUAUCAGCACGUACAGUCAGAAUCUGAAGAUUUCAUUGUAUGAAAAGUAAAUCUCAUGAACUUAUUAAGAAUUAAUGCAUAUUUAUAAGUUUUAAGUUAAAAAUAUAUGCAAAGUAUGUCUGCUUCCUUAUUUUUUAUUAUCACUUUCACCAUUUUAAACUUUAUAAUUUUAAUUAACUAACAGACCAUGUUGGCUUCAGAAAUGUGUUCCUUCUCUCUGUUACUUUCAUAAUGAAGGAAUAAAUGUAUUUUAAAUAAAAUUUUACAAUUUUCACCAUCACCUGGGAGGCUCAUGAUCCUGUAUGAAAGGGAAACACCGUCGUGCUAGAGUCAGAACUUUUCUGAUUAGAAAUUUAACAAAGUUGAUGACCCUGAGUGUCCUGGAGCCUGAAACACAGAAGACGGCCCACCCUUGAAUUCUAACAGGCCCAGCCAGCAGAGGCCAGGAACCCGCCCUCUCCAGCCCUCCUUUCUCUGGGCCGAUGGGCAGGGGCACUGGGGACCCCAGGAGCCUACUGGCCCCAGUUCUCCGGCAGGAUGCCCACUGGGCCCAGGGGGGAGGGGAUCAUCCGGGUGGGUCCCCUGGCUGGGCAGGGAGCUGCUGCCAUUAGCAGAGGUGCCGACGUGCUAAGUACACCUGGGAAAACGGGACUGAAUGCUUGUCUGCCUGAGAGAACUUCACCCCUGCACCUGCUCCAGUCAGACGCGCGCCCUCGACCACAGCUGCCUGCAGGGCUGGUCACUGAUGCGAAUGCCAGCCUGGGAUCUCUGUUCCUCCCUCCACCGGCCUCCUACCUCACUUCUCACCAUCCCUGGGGCUCAGAAACCACUCCAGGCCCCCAGCAGGUCCAGAGACCCCAUCUGCACUGCUUCCCUGAGACACCACCAGCUGACAGAGAGGCUGCAGCUCCUCCUGCUGCGGUGGCCAGAGGCCCUGCUGUGCCUCCACGGGCUCCUGGGGACGGAGUCAGGCUCAAGGGCACGUGCUGCUUCUGAAGGAGUGGUGUGUGCACACGGGAGAGCGCCACUGUCUCCCUGUACACACGGUGCAACGUGUGGGUGAAGCCACCUGCACGAGAGGCAACGAGGCGCGGGCAGACAGCUGCUGCUCUGCGGGCCGGGGUGGCCCUCCUGUCUGCUCAUCUCAGGCCGGACACUGCCCCGCACUGGGCCUGCAGCCCCAGGCAGACCCCCACUCACAGGGUGCAGAGGAUGGAGCCCGGCUGGUGUUCCGGGUAGCUGGAGUUGACGCUCACCUGGCGUCUCUUCGUGGGAGGGGUUUCUGGCCAGUGUCAGGCUCUGACACCACUGGAGGCCCUGGGAGACCUGGAAGGACUGGCCUUCUCAAGUGAGCUGAGGCAAGAGGACCCCUGAGGGAGGCCUGAGGGAGAGGCUGAGCUCCAGACUCCAGCCCCACAAUGCUGGGUGAUUCUGAGCCUCUCGGGGCCACGCCAGGACCCAGGGGUGCCCGGAGGGAGCACCUCCCAGGAACCAGAGAGCAGCUCUCCCCAAAGCCCCAUGCAGGGACAUUUGCUGAUAAAAGAAUGAACUGCAGGGAGGGCUGGAGCAGCCACGCCCUGGGGGGAUGGGGUCCCUCAUGCUGGAGUGGGACGCUCCUCUCCCUUCUGGGUCAGGGCUCAGCUCGGCUCUGCCUGCUCUUGAUCCUCUGCCGGCCCUGCCAGGCUCGGGAAUCAGGCCUGUAGGCCUGUCCCUUCACAGCUGCUCCAUGCUCUGGGCUCGCACCAUGUUCAUCCCUGCACAUUCGCAGUCCAGAGGUCAGGGGUCAGGAGAGCACAGAGGCGAGUGUGCACAGAGACACCUGGAGUGCCACACAAGGGGCCACAGGGAGCUGACCCCGGAGGGCCCCUUGGAGUUUCAGAUCAGGGGGCUCCAGUAAGGGGAGACCCCCAGACUAGGGGCCUCAUCUCAAACGCCUCAUUAACGCCUUAUGGGCGGUGACUUGGCAGGAACCCCACACCCACCACGCAGGGAGUCCCUUGCCCAUGGGCCAACCCAGAGGAGCAACUACCAGGCGCCUCAUCCUGGGGCGACUCCCUCCCUUCCUUGGGGUUCUCUUUGCAGUUACGCAACUGGGGCCACCAGUGGCAGACAUCACACGCAGAGGUCACUUUGACCUUCGUCACAGCAUCUGCCCUAAGGCACUCUCUCCAGCAGGGAGAGGGCAGCGCAGGUGGACAUCUAGGGACGGCAGCCACUCCCUCCCAUCAGGCCUGUAGUGCCCGCAUCUCUGAACACGGGAUGACAUGUGGGGACUCCAGGACUGGAGCCUCUCGGGGGGGCCUGCAUCUAGUUUCCAAAGCAACUCUGACUCUCAAACCAUUGGAGACCCCUCCUUAUUCGAGGUACUCUCCUGAUUUGGAGGAGAGAUUUAGAAUAAGUAUGUAAGAUCGGGCAGAGCUGUGAUACAACACAAGCCAGCACAGCUGAGCUGGAGACCAUGACAGACAUGCUGCUGUGGGGUGGCCAGUGCCAAGCCUGGGACCAGAGGAGGAGGAACGUGGCAGCACUGUGGUGCGUCCUGUGCCAGAAUUGGGACCUAGACACAGGAGAAGCGUGUGCGUGGUGGGCAAUCCUGACAAACUGGGACGGGACUGCUGGGCUGUCUCCUGGGAAUGUGAGCACCGCAGGCUGUGGUUACCGGUCGAGGUCAGCCGUAGGCGUGACGAGGAUAGAGGUGUCACACACUCCUACUUCUGGACAGAGAGUGGUCUCUGUGACUGAUGAAGACCAGCCUGGUGUCCCCCUAGCGUCCACUGCAGCUGCUCCCACGGGGGCCAGAGCCCAAAGCACAGGACCCACUGCAGGUGGGGCAGGCGGACCCUGUGCCAGAUGGAGAAUUUCAGGAGAUCUGGUUAACGCCGAGAUAGUCCAGUUCUCAAUGGGGGUCGUGGCCACCCAGGUGCUGACAUGUUCCAAAAUUCACCAGACGCACACUUAACAUGCCUGUGUUCUAUCGUACGGAAGUUACACCUUCAUAGAGCUGACUUUCACUAAGAAACAAACCGUAUCUGGGGCGAUACAUCUUCUACUGGGUGUUUAUAAAGCCCUCAGAACUCAAUCGUUCCCCUCGUUUGUCAGCACCACCCAGGGCCCGUCCUCGCACGUCUGCAGCCCGAGCGCAGUCUACACAACACCCACGCCCUCCUCGACCUCUAGCAGCUUUGUUGCCUCUGACAGGGAACAGGCAGUAACCUGCAAAUGCGGCACAUCCGACCCUCAGCGUGUCAGUUGGGCGGCAAGUGUCCACUGUGUCUGCCAGCCUGGGCACGGUACUAGGAGAAGCUGGAGGUAUGAACUAGUGUCCACACCGUAUCCUAGAAGGGCAGAGACACAGCGGAGUAAGCGCAGACCAGCGCCAGUAACUGGAUACAGGGCCAUGGCCAGAGCUCAGGGAGGCUGUAACCACGGGCCACCAGGACCGAUUCAAACUGACCGUCUUACCAAGAGCGACUGAGCUGUGUCUCAGGAACUGAGAGGCCUCUUGUCCAGUUCAGGCCUGUUGAGACCACCAACCCACCACCUGGACCUGUCGAAUGCCCAGUCAGUGACUCUCUGCCAUCAGGGGCUGCAAACCCCACCCUCAGGUCACCUAACACCUCAUCUGUGAGUAGGCGUCCUGUGAGAGCAUGGAGCUUGACUGCGCUGGUGCAGGCCGUCAAAUACGUCACUUCCCUCCUCAGUCGCUGUCUCCACACCUCAGACCACCCCCCAUCCCACAAAUUGAGCGCAAGUCCUGGGUCUGGAACACACCUCUGAGAGCUCUGACUCCCGCCUCCUGGCUGGCCGACCUCGAAAAAGCUGGUGGUGUGAUCAUUGGCUUUUUACGGGCAUCGGGCAGAGAACCCUGUCUUUGUGUGGUGAUGUGGCCACAGAGAAGGGAUGCACAUGUCCUCCAGGUCAGGGAGGGAUGCGGAGAGGUGGCCUCUGAGGGCGGUCUCAGAAGACACAGCACAGAGGGAGGAAGGAGGGAGCAUGAGAAAGGGCAUCCCAGACAGGUGACCUCGGAGAUGGGGAAUGAUGAGGGACCAUGUCUUUCAGGGACCACAGCAGCUCAGUGAAGCUGGAAUGCAGGGAGCAGGACAGAGGCUGGGCAGAAAUAGAGAGAAGGGAAAGGAGGGAGGGACGGAAGGAGGAAAGGAGGGAAGGAGGGAGGGAGGGAGGGAGGGAAGCAAAGGAAGGAGGGAAGGGAAGGAUGGAAGAGGAGGGAGGGAGGGCAGAAGGGAAGGAAAGGAGGGGGGAGGGAAGGAAGGAAGGAGAGAGGGAAGGAGGGAAGGGAAGGAUGGAAGAGGAGGGAGGGAGAGCAGAAGGGAAGGAAAGGAG